This 1242-nucleotide ribosomal RNA is filed under the name metagenome. Its description in RNAcentral is "bacterial LSU rRNA". It matches the Rfam family "Bacterial large subunit ribosomal RNA", at positions 1564 to 2814 of the family's 2925-position model. The record is from RNAcentral.
UGAGUACGAGACGCUAAGGCGUCGAAGUAGUGUAUGUCAUACUUCCAAGAAAAGCUUGCACUGUCAUUCAUAAAAAAUGCCUGUACCAUAACCGACACAGGUGGGUAGGUAGAGUAUACUAAGGGGCGCGAGAUAACUCUCUCUAAGGAACUCGGCAAAAUAACUCCGUAACUUCGGGAGAAGGAGUGCCUUAUUUAUAUAAGGUUGCAAUAACAAGAUCCAAGCAACUGUUUACCAAAAACACAGGUCUCCGCUAAGUCGCAAGACGAUGUAUGGGGGCUGACGCCUGCCCAGUGCCAGAAGGUUAAAGAAGUUGGUUAGCAAUAGCGAAGCUAGUAACUGAAGCCCUGGUGAACGGCGGCCGUAACGAUAACGGUCCUAAGGUAGCGAAAUUCCUUGUCGGGUAAGUUCCGACCCGCACGAAAGGCGUAAUGAUUUGGAUACUGUCUCGGAGAGGGACUCGGUGAAAUAGACUUGUCUGUGAAGAUGCGGACUACCUGCACCCGGACAGAAAGACCCUAUGAAGCUUUACUGUAACUUGAAAUUGAAAUUGGACUUUAUUCGCGCAGUAUAGGUGGGAGGCAUUGAAAAUAAUCUUGCGGGAAUAUUGGAGCCAUCAGUGAGAUGCCACUCUUGUAAUGUUAGAUUUCUAACUUUGAAUCAUUAUCUGGUCAAAGAACAGUUUCAGGCGGGCAGUUUGACUGGGGCGGUCGCCUCCCAAAUGGUAACGGAGGCGUACAAAGGUUUCCUCUGAACGGGUAGAGAUCGUAUCUAGAGUGUAAAGGCAAAAGGAAGCUUGACUGUGAGACCUACAAGUCGAGCAGGGACGAAAGUCGGUCUUAGUGAUCUGACGGUACUGAGUGGAAAGGCCGUCACUCAACGGAUAAAAGUUACUCUAGGAUAACAGGCUGAUCUCCCCCAAGAGUUCACAUCGACGGGGAGGUUUGGCACCUCGGUGUCGGCUCAUCGCACCCUGGGGCGGUAGUACGUCCCAAGGGUUGGGCUGUUCGCCCAUGAAAGCGGUACGCGAGCUGGGUUCAGAACGUCGUGAGACAGUUCGGUCCAUAUCCGGUGUAGGCGUUAGAAUAUUGAGAGGAGCCUUCUUUAGUACGAGAGGACCGGGAAGGACAUACCUCUGGUGUACCAGUUAUCGUGCCAACGGUAAACGCUGGGUAGCUAUGUAUGGAGUGGAUAACCGCUGAAAGCAUCUAAGUGGGAAGCCCACCUCAAGAUGAGUAUUCC